CUUCUUGCUACACCCUCACGACUAAUGACAGUGCUUAUUCCCUUAAGGACUCUCAUUAGCCGCGCGAGUCACUGCAGCGGAAGAGGUUCAAGUCUUAGAAACGGUAUAAAUUUUAUAAACAGUAUUAAAGCGUUUCAAUCCCGUUUUCAGGUAAUCCCGUUUCCUAGAAGAAAAGGGGCCUGAUUAGGCCCCUUUCC
Molecule: small RNA, 197 nt
Filed under: Xenorhabdus beddingii
Lineage: Bacteria; Pseudomonadati; Pseudomonadota; Gammaproteobacteria; Enterobacterales; Morganellaceae
Description: SraG
Rfam family: SraG RNA
About the family: This RNA was discovered in E. coli during a large scale screen. Evidence was found for specific cleavage of this RNA.
Source: RNAcentral